RNAcentral lists this ribosomal RNA (500 nucleotides) under uncultured bacterium. Its description in RNAcentral is "partial 16S ribosomal RNA". It matches the Rfam family "Bacterial small subunit ribosomal RNA", at positions 30 to 523 of the family's 1533-position model. The record is from RNAcentral.
AUUGAACGCUGGCGGAAUGCUUUACACAUGCAAGUCGAACGGCAGCACGGACUUCGGUCUGGUGGCGAGUGGCGAACGGGUGAGUAAUGUAUCGGAACGUGCCCAGUCGUGGGGGAUAACGUAGUGAAAAUUACGCUAAUACCGCAUACGAUCUAUGGAUGAAAGCGGGGGAUCGCAAGACCUCGCGCGAUUGGAGCGGCCGAUAUCCGAUUAGGUAGUUGGGGGGGUAAAGGCCCACCAAGCCAACGAUCUGUAGCUGGUCUGAGAGGACGACCAGCCACACUGGAACUGAGACACGGUCCAGACUCCUACGGGAGGCAGCAGUGGGGAAUUUUGGACAAUGGGCGAAAGCCUGAUCCAGCCAUUCCGCGUGCAGGAUGAAGGCCCUCGGGUUGUAAACUGCUUUUGUACAGAACGAAAAGGUUUCUACUAAUACUAGGAGCUCAUGACGGUACUGUAAGAAUAAGCACCGGCUAACCACGUGCCAGCCGCCGCGGUAA